GACGUACGCUGGCGGCGUGCUUAACACAUGCAAGUCGAACGGUAAGGCCCUUCGGGGUACACGAGUGGCGAACGGGUGAGUAACACGUGGGUGGUCUGCCCUGCACUUCGGGAUAAGCCUGGGAAACUGGGUCUAAUACCGGAUAGGACCCUGGGAUGCAUGUCCUGGGGUGGAAAGCUUUUGCGGUGUGGGAUGGGCCCGCGGCCUAUCAGCUUGGUGGUGGGGUGAUGGCCUACCAAGGCGACGACGGGUAGCCGGCCUGAGAGGGUGACCGGCCACACUGGGACUGAGAUACGGCCCAGACUCCUACGGGAGGCAGCAGUGGGGAAUAUUGCACAAUGGGCGCAAGCCUGAUGCAGCGACGCCGCGUGAGGGAUGACGGCCUUCGGGUUGUAAACCUCUUUCAGCACCGACGAAGCGCAAGUGACGGUAGGUGCAGAAGAAGGACCGGCCAACUACGUGCCAGCCGCCGCGGUAA
This 478-nucleotide ribosomal RNA is filed under the name uncultured bacterium. Its description in RNAcentral is "partial 16S ribosomal RNA". It matches the Rfam family "Bacterial small subunit ribosomal RNA", at positions 28 to 523 of the family's 1533-position model. The record is from RNAcentral.